Molecule: RNA transcript, 1843 nt
Organism: Silurus meridionalis
Lineage: Eukaryota; Metazoa; Chordata; Actinopteri; Siluriformes; Siluridae
Gene: ccdc174
Gene name: coiled-coil domain containing 174
Exons: 12
Source: RefSeq, a predicted model, not a curated record
CCAUACGCCAGAGAGCCAUUGAAGACGAGGAAGAGGAGAAUGGUCUUAUAAAGAAGAAGAAGGAGCAGAUUCGUGAAAUCCCUGGCGCUCUCUUAUAAAUCUGUUUAAAAUGGAUAAAAAGAAAAAACAAUACAACGUCACGGCGUCAUCGCUGGUGGAUUUGAAAGCAGAGUUGUACAGGAAGCAGGAGGCGUUCAAGCAGGAAAAACUGACCCAGGAUACAGGAAGUGCCUCCAAACCACACAGCAGCAGCAACACAAAGAAACCCAGUGUGUGGAGUAAACAGAACCAAGGUGUGGCUGCACGUGCUCAGAAGGAUGUCGAGAAAACGGCAGAGGAGGAGCAAAACUUGGACAAAUCGAGGCAGAAGCUGGAGGAGAAAGCGCGCCUCUACGAGCAGAUGACCAAAGGCGAUUUUCCAGACGAGGAGACAGAAGAUCUCUACCUGGUGGACUUCACCCAGAAGAUAAUCGAUCAGAAAAGGGCGGGGCAGAACAGAGGGGUGGAGCCAGGAGACAGAGACGGAGAAGGAUUAGACGUGCGCAUCGCCAUCCCCCCUCCCCAGAGCGCUGAGGAGGAAUGGGUGGAUUAUCUGGAUGCGCUGGGUCGAUCGAGGAAGUGUUUAAGGAAAGAUUUACCUCAGUUUCAGAAAAUGGAUCAGGAUUUACAGGGCAAACGAGCGGUCGGAGCAGACAGGACUCUGUUGUCCGAUGACAUGAGGCGAGAGAUGCAGAGAGAGCAGUGGGAGAGGGAGGAAGAAGAGCAGAUGAAGAGACCUGUAGGACCCAUUCACUACGAGAACAUCCGAGAUCAAGAGGCCAGAGACCUGGGUGUUGGAUAUUACGCUUUUUCCCAUGAAGAAGACCAGCGCAAAAAACAGCGAGAGACCCUGGACAUGCUGAGAGACCAGACCGCGGAGCAACGCACCAAGCGAGAGCACCUGAAGGAGAAGCGGAAAUCUGUGCUCGAGGCUCGGCUGGCGAAAAUAAGAAUGAGGAAGAUGAAGAAGAGCAAGAUGGAGCCGGGAGCUGAGGAGAAUGAGGAAGAAGCUCCUGUUAAAGAGGACCAGGACGUGCCUGAGGACGUGAUCGAAACUCCGCCUCCUGCUGAAGCUGCCGUCAAAAAGGUGGAGGUCGAAAUCCAGGAGAGGAAAGACUCGAGGCCAGGAGCGCCGCACGUCAGAGAGUGGGACAGAGGAAAAGAGUUCUCCUGGGGUCAGUGGACCACCCGGAGACGGGACGAAAGGGAUUCCGAGUUCGCCCCACCCUCUUCAUACUACGGAGAUGAGAGACCAACCAAUUACGGCAGGCCUACACAGGAAGGAGGGCGGGGCAAAGGGAAACCGGGAUUCAAACGGUCCGAGGUGCUCGGUGGGUCGGAUCAGGACGGCACCGAAAGACAAACUCAACCCACACAUGCAUCUCUGACAAACCAGAAUUCAUUUUCGCAGCCUCAGCAAAUUCCCCAAGCGCCGUCUGAACAGACGCAUGACCUGGACGCCCUUUUAUCCUUCUACAAAAACUCUGUUUAAACUUUAAUCCCAGUCUAACGCUCAGUACAGUCUUACCUUUGUUUCCUGAGCUCCUCGAGGUGCCCCUUUUUUGAAAAGUAGCCUGAGUCUCACACACCCACCACUUGUGUGUUUGUCGUGGAGGCCUGGGGUGUAGUCAGUGUUCACAUUCAUCCCAAAGGUGUGCAAUGGGGUGGAAGCUCUAUAGUAUGAGAUCUUCCACACAUCCAACCCAUGUAAAGCAGAUCUUCAUAAAGCUGGUUUUGUGCACAGGGACAUCGUCAUGCUGGAACAUGUUUGGGUCUCUUAGUUCAAGCGAAGGGAAAAUUUCAU